UGAAGCUGUAACCUUCUGCUGGGGCCGGGGCCGAAGUUUUUCCGCCAGAGCAAGGAAGGCUGCCCCUGGCAGCAACUGCACUCCUUCCUUACUCCUGUUGAGAUUCAUUUUAUAGUAGGAAAUAGGCAUCUAACUACCAUACAAGUUCAGACCAAUGGAAGAAAAGAGCAGCAAAAAUUGAACUGAAUGAAUCCCAAAAGCAAGAAAUUAAAGACGCCUUUAAUUUAUUUGAUAUUGAUGGGUCUGGAACCAUCGAUGUAAAAGAAGGAAAUGCUUGAUGAAGCUGAUCAUGAUAGAGAUGGAGAAAUAAACGAGGAAGAUGUUUUGAGAGUGAUGAAAAAGACUACUCGUUAUUAAUAGCGUUGUUUUAGUCCUUGUGGAA
This 382-nucleotide long non-coding RNA is filed under the name Homo sapiens (human). RNAcentral describes it as "non-protein coding lnc-IL21-1:2". Lineage: Eukaryota; Metazoa; Chordata; Mammalia; Primates; Hominidae. The record is from RNAcentral.